AACGAACGCUGGCGGCAGGCUUAACACAUGCAAGUCGAGCGCCCCGCAAGGGGAGCGGCAGACGGGUGAGUAACGAGUGGGAGCGUAGCUAUUGGUUCGGCACAACUCCGGGAAACGGGGGCUAAUACGGGAGAAGACCUAACGGGGAAAGAUUUAUCGCCGAAAGAUCGGAGCGCGUCUGAUUAGCAAGUUGGUGAGGUAAAGGCUCACCAAGGCGAGGAUCAGUAGAGCGGCUGAGAGGCUGAUCAGCGACACGUGCAGUGAGACACGGCACAGACUAUUACGCGAGGCGGCAGUGGGUGAUACUGGCCUAUGGGCUCAGGCCUGAUCCAGUUAGGCCGCGUGAGUGAUUAUGGCCUGAGAGUAGUAAAGCUCUUUUGUCCGGGACGAUAAUGACGGUACCGGAAGAAUAAGCCCCGGCUAACUUCGUG
RNAcentral lists this ribosomal RNA (431 nucleotides) under uncultured bacterium. Its description in RNAcentral is "partial 16S ribosomal RNA". It matches the Rfam family "Bacterial small subunit ribosomal RNA", at positions 29 to 507 of the family's 1533-position model. The record is from RNAcentral.